CAAACCAGAAGCUAGCUUUAUUCCCAUUCCCCAGAGCACAUCUAAUGAAGUUCUUGGCAAGCUCCCGCAGUUUGAGUAGAGCUUUCCAGGUCCAUGAUGCUGUCAUGUUUUCAUCUAAACACCAGAAAGAGGAACCUUGUUUGAGAUUAGUUUUAACCCAUAGUGCUCAAAGCGACUCCGAGUCGCAGAAGAGGAGCCAGAUGAGUUUAAGACAAAGAGUUUUGUUCCAGAAGCAAAG
This 238-nucleotide long non-coding RNA is filed under the name Brassica rapa (field mustard). RNAcentral describes it as "long non-coding RNA (BRAP_LNC002522)". Lineage: Eukaryota; Viridiplantae; Streptophyta; Magnoliopsida; Brassicales; Brassicaceae. The record is from RNAcentral.